UCAGCCACACUGGAACUGAGACACGGUCCAGACUCCUACGGGAGGCAGCAGUGGGGAAUAUUGCACAAUGGGCGCAAGCCUGAUGCAGCCAUGCCGCGUGUGUGAAGAAGGCCUUCGGGUUGUAAAGCACUUUCAGUCGUGAGGAAGGUAGUGUAGUUAAUAGCUGCAUUAUUUGACGUUAGCGACAGAAGAAGCACCGGCUAACUCCGUGCCAGCAGCCGCGGUAAUACGGAGGGUGCGAGCGUUAAUCGGAAUUACUGGGCGUAAAGCGCAUGCAGGUGGUUUGUUAAGUCAGAUGUGAAAGCCCGGGGCUCAACCUCGGAAUAGCAUUUGAAACUGGCAGACUAGAGUACUGUANAGGGGGGUAGAAUUUCANGUGUAGCGGUGAAAUGCGUANNNNUCUGAAGGAAUACCGGUGGCGAAGGCGGCCCCCUGGACAGAUACUGACACUCAGAUGCGAAAGCGUGGGGAGCAAACAGGAUUAGAUACCCUGGUAGUCCACGCCGUAAACGAUGUCUACUUGGAGGUUGUGGCCUUGAGCCGUGGCUUUCGGAGCUAACGCGUUAAGUAGACCGCCUGGGGAGUACGGUCGCAAGAUUAAAACUCAAAUGAAUUGACGGGGGCCCGCACAAGCGGUGGAGCAUGUGGUUUAAUUCGAUGCAACGCGAAGAACCUUACCUACUCUUGACAUCCAGAGAACUUUCCAGAGAUGGAUUGGUGCCUUCGGGAACUCUGAGACAGGUGCUGCAUGGCUGUCGUCAGCUCGUGUUGUGAAAUGUUGGGUUAAGUCCCGCAACGAGCGCAACCCUUAUCCUUGUUUGCCAGCGAGUAAUGUCGGGAACUCCAGGGAGACUGCCGGUGAUAAACCGGAGGAAGGUGGGGACGACGUCAAGUCAUCAUGGCCCUUACGAGUAGGGCUACACACGUGCUACAAUGGCGCAUACAGAGGGCAGCCAACUUGCGAGAGUGAGCGAAUCCCAAAAAGUGCGUCGUAGUCCGGAUCGGAGUCUGCAACUCGACUCCGUGAAGUCGGAAUCGCUAGUAAUCGUGGAUCAGAAUGCCACGGUGAAUACGUUCCCGGGCCUUGUACACACCGCCCGUCACACCAUGGGAGUGGGCUGCAAAAGAAGUAGGUAGUUUAACCUUCG
Molecule: ribosomal RNA, 1148 nt
Filed under: Vibrio rotiferianus
Lineage: Bacteria; Pseudomonadati; Pseudomonadota; Gammaproteobacteria; Vibrionales; Vibrionaceae
Description: bacterial SSU rRNA
Rfam family: Bacterial small subunit ribosomal RNA
Source: RNAcentral